Molecule: ribosomal RNA, 305 nt
Filed under: uncultured bacterium
Lineage: Bacteria
Description: bacterial SSU rRNA
Rfam family: Bacterial small subunit ribosomal RNA
Source: RNAcentral
UGGAUCCUACGGGGGGCAGCAGUGAGGAAUAUUGGUCAAUGGUCGGGAGACUGAACCAGCCAAGCCGCGUGAGGGAUGGAGGUACAGAGUAUCGUAAACCUCUUUUGUCAGGGAACAAAGGCGGGGACGUGUCCCCGGAUGAGUGUACCUGAAGAAAAAGCAUCGGCUAACUCCGUGCCAGCAGCCGCGGUAAUACGGAGGAUGCGAGCGUUAUCCGGAUUUAUUGGGUUUAAAGGGUGCGCAGGCGGUCUGUUAAGUCAGCGGUCAAAGCCCUGGGCUCAACCCACGCCCGCCGUUGAACCUGG